This 6821-nucleotide long non-coding RNA is filed under the name Homo sapiens (human). Its description in RNAcentral is "HSALNT0344317". Lineage: Eukaryota; Metazoa; Chordata; Mammalia; Primates; Hominidae. The record is from RNAcentral.
GGCUUCGCUCCUGGGGAGCCAGAAGCAUGGAAUCAGAAUUCCACUCUCCAGGUGGGAACGUUGUGAUGGAAUACGCUCUGAGAGAUAGAGGAGGCGACUUCUGCCAGGAGUGAUCAGGAGGACUUCUUGGAGGAGGCAGCACUUGAGCUGGUCUUGAAAGAUGAUGAGAUUUUAAUGGGAAAAGAGAUGAUCGAGAAGAACCUUCUAGCAGGAGGGAGCUGCCCUAGCAAAGACAGGAAGGCUGGAAAAUGCGAGAAGUGGGACAGGAAGAUCAACACAGGACCUCUCCCUUCUGAGCCAAACUGACACCUACCUCUUGCCAUGACAGGCCGCUCUUCUGGAGAUUAUAAACUAUUUAUUUUUAACAGAGAAACUGCCUUAGUUGGAGUUCUGGCUCUGCCACUUACUUAGGUAAGAAAGAACUUCUUGGGCCUCAGGCCCUCACCUGUAAAAGGGGCUGAAUAAUAGGAUUGUGCCUCUCUCCAAUGGGCUGUUAGAGGUUGGACUGCAUGCCCCCAAUACUCUUAUGCUGAGGCCUAACCCGGUGUGACUGCACAUGGAGACAGGGUGUGUAGGGAGGGGAUGAAGCUUAAGUGAGGCCACAGGGGAGGCCCAACCCUGUAGAGUCGUGUCUUUAUAAGGAGUGAAAGAGACACCAUUGCUUGCUUCUCUCCUGUGGGCAGAGGAAAGGCCAGGUGAGGACACAGGCAGGAGGUGCCCCCGCAGCCUCAGGCAGAGCCCUCACCACGCCAGCCCUGCUGACGCCUUGAUCUUGGACUCCCAGGCGUCUGCUGCAUAAGCCACCCCGUCCGACGUACUUUCCCAUGGCAGCUUGAGCAGAAUGAGACUGGGGCUUUGGAAGAAGGAACUUCACAUGUGAGGAGCUUGGAGAGUGGGACGUGCCAUGUGUGCACAUGUGCUGCUGGUGGUUGGUGUUAUUGUUAUUAUCAGGAGUGGCGUAUUCCCAGCCUCUGGAAGCUCACCUCGUGGUUUUCUUUCUUCUUCCACUUUUCGUUUUUUAGAUCAUGUCUGCCCUUAGCCUGACAUCCCCGCCAUGUAGGGCUCCAGGACUGCUGUGGCCUCAGCCCUUCCGGGCUCCAGGAGGCCCUGAUUCAUUGCUCUCCCCUCCCCCCUUGGCUGGCCUAGGUGCCUUGUCCUCUUUCUUGGGACGGUGCUCACUGACGGGCCCCAUGGGAGGAGGGAGACACGGCCAGCUGCCAUGCGGGAACAGCUGCCACAGCAUCGCCUCCUCCAGACAUUGCUCACCACCCCUGGCUUUCCUGAGCUUCUCACCAGCCCUGGUGGAAGUGAGCAAACAUGAUUACUUAUUCUUGUCUUCCCCAUCAGGAGGCCAGGGUGGGGGAAAGGCAGUGUGCCACUGAGUUGUUGGUCCUCUAACUUAGUGCUGGUCGCCCGCAUGUGCUCUAGGGCCUCGGGGCACGGUGCUGGGACAGCUCAGCUGGCAGACCUAGGACAGGGCUGGAAGGUGGGGGGCAGGGCUGGGGUCAGAACUUUUCUCCCUUCUUCCCUCCGGACUCAGGGAGGUCCCUUGGGCAAAUUCCUUGUCCAGACAGAGAUGUGUGGGGCGAGAGACACUCAGUCUCCUUAGGAGCAGUGAGCAGCGGGGGGCCCAAGACAACAGCCCCCUGUGGCCGCCUCCAGCCCCAGGACAGUGGCCUGAGCCCUGGGUCACCAUGCUCACUCCACCCAGCGCAGAAUUCUCCAGCGCCCAGCCUUGCAGAGGCAACGCGGCUCCGACAGGACCUGUAACCUCUUCCUGCCGCUUCUUUGUCAUGCAACCAGCCCUUCCCUCCAAAUCUUUCAAAAUCCUCUUCCCCAGGGGUCACUGCCCUGAUCUUCGGAGCAGGCUGUGGACAUGGACUCACUCUGCUGAGCUCUUCCUCCUCUGUGUACCGAGGCCACAGCCCCCACUCCGAUCCCCCACGCAGCCUCUGCCUGCGCUUUUGUCCCUUGUCCUUACCUUUAUCAAGCUCAAGGGACCCCGUAACCGCACGCCCUCCUCAGGGCCUUUUCAUUGGAAUUCCCACACUCUCUGCAUUUCUGAAGGACUGGUUGAAACCGCAGCGUUCUUCUAAGUGGCAGGUUGCCAGGAAGGCCACGACCCGCUCAAGCUCCUCUCGUGACGAGGACGCCACCUGAAACAGUCGGGCUGCAGUCGCCGCCGUCCUCCGGCUCCCACUCUGCUGGGGUCUCCCUGCUGACCCGGCUUCCCCAGCGCCUCCGGUUCUUCCCAGCCCGAUCUCUCUCCACUGUCAUCCUCAGUGCCAGCCUGUCUCCCACGCCAGCUCGUAAACUCCAGGGUGGCGACUUUGUCUCACUUUCUUUUGUGUUCUGAGCACCUGACCUGGGCAGCCCUGAAGGCAGCUGUGUGAGGAGUCCAGGCGGUGGCCAUGACCCCCGAGCACGCCAGGCGUUAUCCCAGCUGAGCCUCCAGAGUCUCUGGGCUUUCUUCAUAGGUGCUGGGGCAGUCACUCUCAGCCACGACAGGGACACACGAGGCCCACCUCCCAGGAGAAAGCGCCUCUUUCCUCGCCUUUCUGGCCCCAGAGAAAUACAACUUUCAAGAAAGAGUUUGUUCAUGACAAAGUGAGACAGAGUUAAGAGAGAAACUCAGGAUUCAAGGUGAAGAUGUCAGAUGCGCUUGGAUGUGGGAGGAAAGAUCCACCCUGGCCCUCAGUGGAGAGUUCUGACAGUGGUGGGUGCCACUGGGGCUAGGUCCUUUGUGCUGUGGCAGCACCAUCUCCCCCAACCUGCUGCAACUGGGGCUCAGCUGCCUUUUCCAGAGAUCGUGGGGGGUCGCCUCAACUGCGGGGUCACCUGUCCCAACCACUCUCAGCCAAUGACUGACAGACGGGCUCUGGGCUGGGGCCUCUGGGCCUCCAUGAGGGACCUACUCUACAAUUGACACAUCAGGGCAGACAUUGUAGGAUGUGAAUCACUGCAGGGGGAGGAUGCCUGGCAGUGAGACUGUCUGUCCCAGGAGACAGGAAUCCUCACAUUUCCCAGACAAGGCCAAAUUGGGUGUGUGGGAUUUUCUACAAAGUUUUAAAGAAAAAAAAUUUUUAUUCUGAAAUUAUCCUAAUUGUGGUAUUAAAAUGUCAUUUAUUUAUUUAUUUUGAGAUGGAGUCUCACUCUGUCACCCAGGCUGGAGUGCAGUGGCACCAUCUCAUCUCACUGCAACCUCCGCCUCCCCAGGUUCAAGCAAUUCUCAUGCCUCAGCCUCCCAGGUAGCUGGGACUACAGGUGUACAGGUGCGUGUCAUCAGGCCUGGCUAAUUUUUGUAUUUUUAGUAGAGAUGGCAUUUCGCCAUGUUGCUUAGGCUGGUCUCAAACUCCUGACCUCAAGUGAUCCGCCUGCCUCAGCCUCCCAAAGUGCUAGGAUUAAAGGUGUGAGCCACUGCACCCAGCCAAAAUGUUUUUUCUUUAAUCCAGUAAUGGUGAUUAAAAAUCCUUGCUUAACAAAAGAAAAAGUUGGUCACAUACGUCAGUCCUCAAAUGUGUUCUGAAACAUUCAUGGGCGUACCUCCUAGAGGCUGUGAGCCACGGCUCUGCAGGCAUCUGGCUCAGUCCCCCUCUCCGGCUCCCCUGGCCCCCACUUUGGCAGCUCUUCCUGGGCUGUGAUUUUGUUUCUGCAGAGUGGCCACCAUUCUGCAGAAACGGUCAUACCCUCUGGGACCCUCUGCCUCACAGAGGCCCCCACGUUCCUGGGCCCUCCCUAAGGGGAGCCUUGUUUCUCCGAGGAGAUCUUGGGCUCACCGGUUAUGUUUCAGGGACCCACAGGACAGGAUUCCUGGCUCUAGUGUUUAGAAACACACUUGAGAGAGCCAGGUUGAAAGCUCUCCCUGGGUGCGUGACCACACUUAGGUGGUGAAGGUGGGGACGCCUGCAUGGGCGCUGGGGGGCUCAUGCACAGCUGGCCACCCUCAUCCCUGGUUUGUCAGCGCAGACCCCUGGGAAGCCUCCUCGCCUGCUGUGGUCUCUCUUCUAAGCAUCUUCAGUGGUGCAGUGGCUCAGGCUCUCACUGUGCUCAAGAUGCAGGCUGAACGUCACACUCAGGCUAAGGCCAAGCCCCCCACCUCCCCACACCACCCACCCCUGUCUAGUGAGGACGUGCUACUCUAGCUAAGUCCCUACCAUCCUCCUCGUCCACCAUGGCUGGCAGAAUCACAUCUCAGAACUAAAAUGUAGAAGUUGAUUUUCAGCAUAAAGAGCUUGUUUCCACACAUCUCAAGAUUAGGAAGUGACUUGUACUUGGAGAGAUAAAUGUUGACUUUUCAUGGAGAAAAUGGACAAGGUCCUCUCCUACUGGCCUGGCCCUAGGCUAGUUGAUCUCUUCGGUGAGAUCUGGGAUGUGGGGGACUGGGACGUGGGUCCUGCUCCCCUCUGCUCCAGGCACACAGCUGGCCAGAGGCUGGUGCUGCAGGAGCUGGCGUGGGUGCGGCCCCCAUGAGCCCUCACUGCCCUGGCCUGUCCCAGCCCUGCAUGGUGGAGGCUGCCCUGCCCUGCAGGAACAUGUGGCUUCCUCUUGGCUGCUCCAGCUUGCUUGGUGCUGUGGUUUGAAUGUGUCCCCCAGUUUCAUAGGCUGGAAACUUACUCCCCAUAGUCACAUGUUGAUUGGAGGUGGGGCCUUUGGGAGGUAACUAGGAUUAGAUGAGGACAUCAGGAUGGGACCCGAUGGGGGAUGUGGCCUUAUGAGAAAAGGAAGGGAGACCUGAGCUGGUAUACGUGCUCUCUCACCAUGGGACACCUUCCGUCAUGGGAUGAUGCUGCAGGAGGGCUCUCACCGGAUACGGCCACUCGACUUUGGACUUCCCAACCUCCAGAACUGCGCAAAAUAAAUUUUUCUUUAUAAACGGCCCAGUCUGUGGUGUUCUGUUAUAGAAACACAAAACAGACUAAGACACUUAGUUCUCCUGAUGUCCCCUACAGCCUGUCUUCCUGCAGUUCCUGAGUGCUUGGCCUCCUUGGCCUUUGCAGGUCAUGGUGGGCUCCUUGUAGGGCCCAGCCUUUCCUGGUUUCCCCGUCCAGCAUCCACCUGUUGCCUGGAGCCAACCCCAUCUGCAGUUGGAUAGUGGUGGUGCCCCCACUUCAUGCUGGCUCCCAAAAGAGACUUACUUGCGUCUUAAAGCAAAACCAGUAUUAAAAUUCUGCCCUACUCUUGUUGUAUCUUAAGGGCUUACGUGAAACACUUUUUUUUGUUUUUGGAAUCGCAUUGAAUGCAAAAUGGGCCCAGUUGGAGGGCGCUAGCCAGGGCGGGAACUUGUGGGUACCAGGUUAAUUGGGGUUCUGGUUGUGGAGGGAGAAAAAAGGACCUGACUUUCAUCCCAACCACUUACCUGUGCAGGUGCCACCUGCCUGUCUGCUCAGCCAACCGACCCAGAGCAUGAACUGGUUAUUUGCACAAUGGAAGUGAAAGAGGGAAAAGGUGCUAGAGGCAGAAAUUGAUUCAUUGGCAAGGAGACCUUCAGCUUUGACAAUUUUCUCAAGGAGGCAAAGGAUGAAAGUGCUUAGCCCACAAGAAAAAUCAUCUGAUUAAGCUGGGGUUUAAAAUAAAGCAAGAACUUCACAGUAUCUCUCACAUCAAGGGACUAGUUCUCACACCUGUUUUUGGGAGAGCUGGUGAAAGGAGGAAGGAGAUGGUACCUUGAGGAAAAGCCACCUUUGGGAGAUUCUGAGCAGUUGCUAAGUGUCCCCUGGCCCUGGAGCCGGCACCUACCUUCUGCCCACUCGGACAGUGCAGUGAGUCAGAGACGGCACAGGUGGAAUGAGACUAACUGUGGCCCCACCCUGGCCGGCAGCCCUGUGUUGCAGAGCAUAGCACAGCCAGCAGAGGGACCAGGAGAUGCAGGAGCCCUCCUAGUCUCCCCCUGCACCGCCCUCACCACCCACCCCCAUGAGGAAGGGGCCGUCCCAGAAGAUGCUAAGAGGCUCAGCCCCUCCUCCAUGGAGUUUGGGAAGGUGACAGUGUUAAGCUCCCCCACCUCCCAGAAGGAAUCCGGUUCCCAAACUGGGAGAUGGUCCUGAUUACCACGGAGCAAUUAAGCAAGCUGCGGAGGAGAAGCCGUAGUGAAGACCCUCCCCACGCAUGCUGUGUUUGCUCAUAGGAGCAGGGGCAUGAAAGGUUUUGUAACAACAAAAAAGAAAGCUGGCUCCAAGUGUGGAAAGAAAGCAGAGGAAGGAACGGGUGGGGACCCUGUUGGCAGCUCUCCCUGAGGACGGGCCAGGAUGGGGGGUCCUGGGGUCUGGGAUUCUGACCCCAAUCUUUAGAGCAGUCCCUAAGCCCCUUGCUCGCAGGGAGUGAAGCACCAGCAGGCAUGGCUGCCAGGUCAGCAGACAGCCGACUCGGCUUCCUCGAUGGGCAGCUUGCCCCGAUGUCACGGCUGGCAUUCACCGUGGCCCAUGAAGGCGGUGGAGAGUGCCCCACAGGAGCAAUCUGCCGCCAAAGGGGACGUGACGCCUGCCAGGAAUGCCCAGCACACACCCAGUCUCGGGGCACCUGCCCUCACAGCUGGGGGGCGUCACCUAUGUGCCCCGAAUGUAGUAGAUCAUGUGGUGCCUGCACCAAGGCCGUGGCAUGAAAUUCAAUAAAAUUUCCCCAAAUUCAUUGUUCAGUCAUGACUCAUUUCCAAGGAAAGGAGUGAAAUCCACCCUUCUUCCUUUGUUCUUUCUUCCUCCUUUGAAAGUGUCCCCAUGGAGAAGCCCCCACUCCUACAGUCUUGAGAAAGAGCCUCUCACACACUCACACCCAUUCCCACACACAGACACACUCAUACACACACACAUAUUCCCACACACACUCAC